ACCUUCUCAAGCAUGGAGACGAUAUCCAAAGAAAUUUCCACAAGCUCCACUCUCCGCAUUCAGAUGUAGGACUUUUUAGGGUGUCGGGUGUAUUUCCUUCUUUUUCCAAGGAUGGCUCCAAGCUUGCAUUCGUUGACAAUGAGUUCAAAGCCGUGUGGGUAGCCGAUAGCCAAGGAUUGCGCAUUGUCUACGAGUCGAAAGGCCCAGACAACAUCUUCUCACCAGUUUGGAACCAGGAUCCACAAAAGGAUACACUGUAUGUAUGCAUGGGACCUUCUUUCAACUCUAGCAAAACAUUGGACAUCUGCGCCAUCCCCAAUGUGUCUAGCGGUGCACGGCAGCGUCGAAAGCUUACAAGAGGAUUCAAUAAUGCCUUCCCAUCCACCAGUCCAGACGGGACGAGAUUAGUUUUUCGAUCUACAAGAGAUG
Molecule: unclassified non-coding RNA, 429 nt
Filed under: Hevea brasiliensis (rubber tree)
Lineage: Eukaryota; Viridiplantae; Streptophyta; Magnoliopsida; Malpighiales; Euphorbiaceae
Source: RNAcentral